GAAGUAUUAUUAAUUACACAGAUGCUAAUAUGGUAUUGAGGAAUAGCAUAGAAAGGCAUUGAAAUGCAAUUUCUCACCUGGCUGCUUGUGGUGCUCUGCAGGCGAUGAAAAACUUGGCCAGCUUCAGCAGCAAGGCAGCCAUUAGAAAAUUAACCCUUGGUGAGAUGCAAAGGGGGCUGUGGCCAGAGCAGGGGAUGCUAGAGCGACAGAAUGCUGAAGAUAGUUGUCCCAGCUACGAGAUAAAAGCUACAUUACAUGAAAUUAAUGGAGGCUGUCUGCGACAUACAUGAAUCACUGUUUCAACACUAAGAAACCAGCACAAAAGAAUAAA
Molecule: long non-coding RNA, 331 nt
Filed under: Homo sapiens (human)
Lineage: Eukaryota; Metazoa; Chordata; Mammalia; Primates; Hominidae
Description: HSALNT0032103
Source: RNAcentral